Molecule: long non-coding RNA, 740 nt
Organism: Sitodiplosis mosellana (orange wheat blossom midge)
Lineage: Eukaryota; Metazoa; Arthropoda; Insecta; Diptera; Cecidomyiidae
Exons: 2
Source: RefSeq, a predicted model, not a curated record
GAACGAACAUAAACAUUUUUCACUCUUUUUCAUUAGCUCUGCCUCAGUUGAAGUAAGCUGAGGGAAAUCACAUUAUAUACAUUCGAUGAACAUAAUUUAUCAUCACAAACGGUUUUGGCGUGAACAGCACAAAACUUCCAUUCCUCUUUUGCUCUCAGUGCGUAUUUUCCGUUUCAUUCAAAUUCGGGAUAUUGAAUUUGGUGCCGUUGCCGCAUUCACAUCUCUCUUGCCCUCAAAGUCUGUCGAUAAAAGCGUUAGUCAUUUAAAACCGCCUUUCAAAAGGCACUCAAUCAAACGAAGCGUUUGCAUUCAUUUUUAUUCAGAGUAGUGUAGAUUUUGCGAAAUAAAAGGAAGUCGAGAGAAAAAAAAGACGGCCGAGAAUCCAUUUGAUCGAUUAUUCGAAGCGAUUUCAAAGAAGAAAUUAUCAAUUUACGAUAAAAAUGCCAAGUAUUAGCGAGAAUAAGACAUCCGGCCAGAGUGCACGACAAAUUCUACAAGAAAUCAUCCGGGUUCGCAAUCAAAUCCAAGAACUGAAAAAAACCGAAGCUCGCAUGAUGGAUGAUGCUAAAACAGAGAGACGACAAUCAAGAUGGGAUGAAAAGAACCAACCAAGAAGAAGCAUGUGAUGACAAAAUGGAAUUUAUUGAAGAAAAUAUUUCUUAUUUUAUGCGACCGUUACAUUGUUGGCAAAACUAACAAAAAACAAAACAGAUCUUCAAAAAUCUGGGGCAAUAUCGGUG